Molecule: ribosomal RNA, 253 nt
Filed under: uncultured bacterium
Lineage: Bacteria
Description: partial 16S ribosomal RNA
Rfam family: Bacterial small subunit ribosomal RNA
Source: RNAcentral
UACGUAGGGGGCGAGCGUUGUCCGGAAUUAUUGGGCGUAAAGAGCGUGUAGGCGGUUCGGUAAGUCUGUCGUGAAAUCCUGGGGCUCAACCUCGGGCGUGCGAUGGAUACUGCCGGGCUAGAGGGUGGUAGAGGCGAGUGGAAUUCCCGGUGUAGUGGUGAAAUGCGUAGAUAUCGGGAGGAACACCGGUGGCGAAGGCGGCAUCCUGGACCAAUACUGACGCUGAGGAGCGAAAGCCAGGGGAGCAAACGGG